Molecule: ribosomal RNA, 253 nt
Filed under: uncultured bacterium
Lineage: Bacteria
Description: partial 16S ribosomal RNA
Rfam family: Bacterial small subunit ribosomal RNA
Source: RNAcentral
UACAUAGGGGGCAAGCGUUAUCCGGAAUUAUUGGGUGUAAAGGGUGCGUAGACGGAGAAACAAGUUGGUUGUGAAAUCCCUCGGCUCAACCGAGGAACUGCAACCAAAACUAUUUCCCUUGAGUGUCGGAGAGGAAAGUGGAAUUCCUAGUGUAGCGGUGAAAUGCGUAGAUAUUAGGAGGAACACCAGUGGCGAAGGCGGCUUACUGGACUGUAACUGACGUUGAGGCUCGAAAGCGUGGGGAGCAAACAGG